This 409-nucleotide ribosomal RNA is filed under the name uncultured bacterium. RNAcentral describes it as "bacterial SSU rRNA". It matches the Rfam family "Bacterial small subunit ribosomal RNA", at positions 8 to 447 of the family's 1533-position model. The record is from RNAcentral.
AGAGUUUGAUCCUGGCUCAGAACGAACGCUGGCGGCAGGCUUAACACAUGCAAGUCGAACGCCCCGCAAGGGGAGUGGCAGACGGGUGAGUAACGCGUGGGAAUCUACCCAGUUCUACGGAAUAACACAGGGAAACUUGUGCUAAUACCGUAUAAGCCCUACGGGGGAAAGAUUUAUCGGGACUGGAUGAGCCCGCGUUGGAUUAGCUAGUUGGUGGGGUAAUGGCCUACCAAGGCGACGAUCCAUAGCUGGUCUGAGAGGAUGAUCAGCCACACUGGGACUGAGACACGGCCCAGACUCCUACGGGAGGCAGCAGUGGGGAAUAUUGGACAAUGGGCGAAAGCCUGAUCCAGCCAUGCCGCGUGAGUGAUGAAGGCCUUAGGGUUGUAAAGCUCUUUCAGUGGGGAAG